CUAACUAUGUGAGAUGAAUCAUUUCAGCCUUUUUAAAGCUGAAGUAUAGUUGACAUUUUACCUUAACUCAAGCUAAUACUAAGCUACUGGUAAAUUCUUUUUUUUAAUAUAAUAAAUGUGUUAAGAGUUUACAAGCUACUGUUAAAUACUCAGUGAUACGUGGGUCUUUGCAAAAAAAGUUUCAGACAGGUCUUAUGCGAUAAGCCACACUGCUCCAAUUUGUCAUAGAUAAGAAAAAUGCAAUGGUAAAUAUAUCCAAAUAUAUUCAAUUCCUGUUGGAAAUGUGCUAUAAACCAGGGGUCUCCAACCUUGCUAUAAACAGCUUUAAAGCAUUCAUUGAAGACAGGAAAAUUCAUAAAGCAUUCAUUGAAGACAGGAAAAUUCAUCAGCGUUAAAGCAUUCAUUGAAGACAGGAAAAUUCAUCCAAGAGUUGUAUGUUUGGUGACAAGUUGCUGAUAAAUCAGCAGUGCAUUUGUUUUAACAACAAACAUGCAAAGAAAUCAGAAGGAUAUAUGUUUCACAAAUGGCUCUGAUAAAAUUUGUGUUAGCCUUUGGUGUGUCUUGGAAGUCCCAACACAAGGAAUAUUUCUUGCCAGAUAAUAAUUUCAAGAUCUGUCCUAUAGCUAUCUAAGCAAGGCAAAAUAAUUGACUGCCAAAUAUAUUGUUUUUUAUCUUCAAAAAAACAUUAGUCAAGUUGCAGCCCCUUCAGUAAAACAGACAAAACUAUAUUAUGUGAACCUAGAAUGCUUACAAAAAAGGCUAGUAGUUUUUAAAAGUAAAUCAGAUGCAGAAGAGAAUGUAAACAUUAAUACUCCUCCUUAGGGUUUGAAUUUUCUAGCCAAGAAAUGAGAUAAUAGCUUACUUAAUCUGCCUUUUCCAAAGAACCAAAGAACUUCUUGUCAGUAUUUAAUAUUGGCUGAGAAGGAAUUUAUAAUUCAAAAGCUGGGAAUCUGGCUUUGGUCGGUAUCAGAAGAUCAGCAAGAAAAUAUAUUGUUCCAGCCAUUCCUGUAAAAAACAAUAACAGACAAGCAAUAAUUAUGCUUAAACAUAUGCCUGACCUUGAAUUCCCAGAACUAUUAGCAAAUAUCCAUAGUAUCUAAAGAAAUCUGCAAGGCACCUAGGUUGGAAGAAGACUGCUUUAGAAGAGCAGACAUUUAUUUUGUAAUG
Molecule: long non-coding RNA, 1167 nt
Filed under: Naja naja (Indian cobra)
Lineage: Eukaryota; Metazoa; Chordata; Lepidosauria; Squamata; Elapidae
Description: lncRNA (ENSNNAG00000004929.1)
Source: RNAcentral